RNAcentral lists this ribosomal RNA (566 nucleotides) under uncultured bacterium. RNAcentral describes it as "bacterial SSU rRNA". It matches the Rfam family "Bacterial small subunit ribosomal RNA", at positions 777 to 1343 of the family's 1533-position model. The record is from RNAcentral.
AAUAGAUACCCCGGUACGUCCACGCCGUAAACGAUGGAUGCUAGCUAUUGGGGGGGAAUCGACCCCCCUCCGAAGCGAAGCUAACGCGUUAAGCAUCCCGCCUGAGUAGUACGAGCGCAAGCUUAAAACUCAAAGGAAUUGACGGGGGACCCGCACAAGCGGUGGAGCGUGUGGUUUAAUUCGAUGGUAAACGAAGAACCUUACCAAGGUUUGACAUCCCGGUAGCCGUUCUCCGAAAGGAGAAUUUCAUUUAGUUGGACCGGUGACAGGUGAUGCAUGGCCGUCGUCAGCUCGUGUCGUGAGAUGUUGGGUUAAGUCCCGCAACGAGCGCAACCCUUAUGAUUUAGUUGGUAUUUUUUCUAAACAGACUGCCCUGGUAACAGGGAGGAAGGAGGGGAUGAUGUCAGGUCAGUAUUUCCCUUACACCGUUGGGGCGACACACGCGCUACAAUGGCCGGUACAAUGGGCAGCUAAGCCGCGAGGUGGAGCAAAUCCCAUCAAAGCCGGUCCCAGUUCGGAUUGCGAGGCUGAAACCCGCCUGCAUGAAGCCGGAAUCGCUAGUAACC